Molecule: long non-coding RNA, 2553 nt
Organism: Oryza sativa Japonica Group (Japanese rice)
Lineage: Eukaryota; Viridiplantae; Streptophyta; Magnoliopsida; Poales; Poaceae
Source: RefSeq, a predicted model, not a curated record
ACGCCCACUCCUCCUCCUCCCACGCCGCGUCCUUCGCCCUCCUCCCUGGGCGACGCUCGCCCCGCCGCCGCAUCGCCUCCUCACCAGCCACGCCCGCCGGCCUCCUCCGCGAUCGCCGCCGCCCUCUCCAACGCGCCUCCACCUCGCAUCGGAUCGAUCAUCCACCUUCGCCCUCCUCCCUGCGUCGCCUCCUCGCCUCCUCACCUUCACACCUCGCCACCGCAUCGCCUCCUCAGCAGCCCCGUGCCCCGCGCCCCGCGUCCCGCGCCGCCCUCGACCGCCGACGCUGCGACCCGCGCCGUCUCCUCGCUGCCGUCGCCGCGCCCCGAGUCCCGCGUCCCGCGCUGCCCUCUACCGCCGAUGCGGGAGCAGGAGGUCACGCCGCGUCAACACCGCCGAGGAGCCGCUUCCUCGCCGCCGUCGCGACGACCCGCGCCGCCCUCGACUGCCGCCACCUCCGCAGAUCGCCAUCGCACGCCUCCGCCUCUCAAGGUCACACGCUCAUCGCCGCCCGACACCCCGCCGAUUGGGGACCGAACGCUGACCCUGCAUCGACGCCACAACAGUCGACAGAGGGGAGAUGUUGAAGACCUCACUCCAACGACGGCUGCGCGCGGCGACACUACCAGGCACUGAGGGAGAGAAUGCGGUGCGAGGUGCGGCGGGGUUGUUCGUCCUUGCCCAGAUCAAUGCCGCCGCCGAUCCCUCACUCGCCCCUCGCCCAAGUCGGCGCCAAGGGCGGGGUUCGCCAAUCUGCUUCCCAGCCGCCUCGCCCGCUCCAUGGGAGAGGUGACACCUGUGCCCGCCUCCAGCGCUCCAUGCCCCCGGAUACCAUCCGAGCACGAUCCCUCCUUAGCUUCUGCCGGAGAAGGGACGCAUGCGCCGACCUUCAGCACUCUACGCGCCCUGUGGAUAAUUGAUUGCAGGAUCACUAAUGCUCUUUUUUGCCCAUAAGGUGUUCAACGAAAUGCUGCUUAGCCAAUGUAUUACCAGAAAUUGAUUUCUCUGUAAGUGAGAAUGUCAUAUUGUCAUGUCCCCUAUGUUGUUAUUUAUACUAAUGAUUGCAGGAUUCUCUCUGUUGUUAUUUAUGCUAUGAAGUGCUGGGAAGUUGAGAGUGUUGCUACCAAGCAAAAAGAUUCAAUUGAUCUGUUGGAGCAAACUAAUUUGGAUCUCGCAGUCUCAAAACUAAUCUGGUUCUUGAUUGUUUCAGAGUGGAUGAAAAUAAAAAAUGGAAUGAUGCAGUGAAGAUUAUGUAAGCAAUGUUCGUGAUAUAUCGAUCCUGAAAUUCUCAUAGAUGGCCAUUGCACAAAUACAAAAAUUUGCAGCUCAAGAUGAACAACCACACCAACCCCAAGAUCACCAACUAAGCCUAUCCUGCUUCAUGAUUGUUGCUGCAAACUCCAACAUGCUUGCUGCUGGUGCAAUCUGAGCCGGCUGGUGGCAGAUGGGAGCCUGCCCUAUGUUGUUAGCAGCUUUCUUCACUCCAAGUCAUGCUUGCUGCCUGUGGUCUUGGUAGUUUCUUUUUUGUGUUGUCAAUUUAAUUAUUAUGAUUUCCCAUGUGCUCGGCUAUUGGUGUUCUUGUUUUUAUCUGUUUUGUUUCAGGGUGUCAUUACUAUGGAGUAGAUCAUUUUUUUCUUAUUUUUUUUAAUGCCUUGUAAAAUAACCAACUAGCAGGGAUGUUCAUAAAUUUCUCCCUUUUGUUUGGUUUUUUUCAGACAUAUAUAUAUAAUGAAGGCAUAUAUACACAAAAGGAGGAGCUGUUUGAGGGUCUAAAGGACAAUAGCUCAAUUGACUGGGAAGCUGUUGUCAUAUGCUGAGAGCAAUCUGCUAAAUGUUAAAGAGGUGCAUCUAACUUUUGUACCCAGUGAACUGCAAAUCUGCACCUUCAUUUUUGAUUAAUAGUUUCUUUGGAUUCAGAUCAAAAUAGCUCAACAUGGGAAUUUUUCUAGCAGAGGAUGGGCAAUUCUUGGAAAAUACUAUAUAUUUCUUGUCGUUGAAUAUGAUCAUGUCCCAUUAUUUUGGCACUUGCUGCCUUGAUUCUGUUGCCUGUCCCAGCCCUUCAGCUAGCUCUCUAUCACACAUGAAUGCGUGACCCUUGAUGGUUGUAUGCAGUUGGGAUAUUUUGGUGAGUUCAUCCCCCUUCCCCACCCCACCUCUCUCUCUCUCUCUCAAAACCAUCAUUUAUCUUCACUAUUGACUUACAAUUUCACUUCUAGCUGAUGAUGAUCAAUCAAAGCUAGCUCAUAUGUAUUAGUGAGUUUAUGAAAAAAAGGAUCAGAUAUUCAAUAACAGAGUCAGCUCCUUCCGAACGAUGGCAAAAUGGUACCUUUAUAAUUUUACUUCUCAACACGCACACAUUUUUUUAUGACGAGUUUGAACUUUUGUUCUCCUUGUCAGAUUUUAUCUGAAGCAAGUAUCAUAUACUUCUGUAUUAGAAUAUGGACGCAAUCAUAUAUCUCCUAAGGUUUAGUGCAUACUCUCAUAUUUGGAAGUGAAUACCAAACGUGUAUGAAAUAGUGCAUUCGAUUUAAUCUAUUCUCUCUUGGGCAUUUA